CUGAAAAUGACAACAGAAAUGAGAAAUUACAGAACAAUAACUGUAGUGUAGGGCACCACACCACCACGAUAAAAAUAUUACCUCUAGAGCACUAUCGUCCAAGGUUAAAUAAACAAGAAUACAGAAGUUUGCCCUGAUAGUACAUACAUAGAGAAAAUUCCUUGUGUACACCUCAAAACUCUCUCAAUCCCUUAUAUGCACCUAAAAAAUACCGAAUCCCUUGUGUGCCCUCGAAAAUUUGUUUAGAACCCUUGCGUACCCCUCCCGUCAAGUCUCUGUCAGUUUAGAUGUUAAUUUGCUUAGAAAUGUCCAUUAUGCCCUUUGAGAAUGGAGGGCAUGCAUGGAAUUUGAUUAUAGUUGGCUGAUUAGAGAGCUUGCUAUAUAUUAAAUAAUUUUUUUGUAUGAUGUGUGCUAUCAUAAAUAAUUAGUGGAUAUAAAAUUUAAAAUAUUUUUUUAAAAAAAUAGUACAUUGCAAUUUUAAAAAUAAAUAUGUGGCUAUAACUAGCUGAAAAUACUAAGAUUAGCUGAAAAUACUAAAUCUAGUAUUUUCAGCUAAUCUUAGUAUUUUCAGCUAGUUAUAGCCACAUAUUUAUUUUUAAAAUUGCAAUGUACUAAUCUUAGUAUUUUCAGCUAGCUAUAUCCACUUAUUUAUUUUCAAAAUUGCAGUGUACUAACUUUUCUCAAAAUUUAUUUUAAAUUUUCUAUCAACUGAUUAUUUAGUAUCAUAAAGCACACAUCAUGAAAAAAAAUAUUCAACAUAUAGGGAGCUCUUUAAUCAGCCAACUAUGAUCAAAUUUCAUAUCCACCAUUCUCAAAGGGCAUAAUGGACAUUUCUAAGAAAAUUAACAUCUAAACUGACAGAAACUUGACGGGAGGGGUACGCAAGGGUUCCAAACAAAUUUUCGAGGGCACACAAGGGAUUCGGUAUUUUUCAGGUGCAUAGAAGGGAUUGAGAGAGUUCUGAGGUGUACACAAGGAAUUUUCUCUACAUAGAAAGUGAAUGAAAGAACUAAAAAACAAAAAAAAGGAGCAUUAUCUACCAAAAAGUGUCAAAACAGACCAUGACAUUUCCUACUUGACUUUAAUUACCAUGCUUUCAAUCUUAUUCAUUUGCAUCACUACUUGAUUAAAUAGGACCUUAAGUGGAGGGUCACAAGUCAAGAAAAAUCUUUUGUUCCUAAGUAAUUUUUUUCUCUGGUUUUUCAGCAUUGAUUCAUAGAAAAAUGUGUAUUAGUUAGCAUGUCAUGUAUGCUCCAGACACUAUUAUUUGAAAAAAAAAUCAUUCAAUAUUAAAAAAAAGAAAAAGCUGACCCAGGGUACUCAGAAACUUAUUAGUUUUGGCCCAUGUUUUUUAUAUACAAGUACAUAAUAAUUCUGGAUUUUCACAGGAGCUAAUGCUAUGUCGCAUGGAGUAUACACAGCAUGCAGUACCCCAUCCCCCAGGCAACCAUACUAGAUCAGUAUACCAUUUCCAUAGGUGUUAUAUGUUUCAAGACCUAUCUCGUGACACAAACUUAAACCUGCAAACGUGCUAUUCAAUAUUAAUAUCAUCCUUGAACAGAAGGUCAGCUGAUGUCUGCUUCUGCCUGAGACACACAAUAUCCUGAAAGAUGAGUUCAAGUAUACUAGUAUGAAAUAACACACAAAAACUCUUUGAAGUCCCUUAAGGUCAUGAUUUCUGAAGAUCAUCACAUUAGAAGUGCAAAUUUGCACAAUUACAUUGCUCAAACAGGAAGACAUGUAAGAUGGGGAUGCACACUUGUGAAACAUGAGAAGAGGCUUCCAGCUAAAUGCUUAUUCAUCGGACCAAACUAGACAUUGAGAUGAUUAUCAAGGGAGGGUAAGUCCGUAAGUACAAGAAACAAUAAUAUGUUUUUGGAAGGAAGACACUGUAAUUUUAAUCUAAUAUGAUAAAUGGUACCCAAAAAAAAAAA
This 1934-nucleotide long non-coding RNA is filed under the name Oryza sativa (Asian cultivated rice). RNAcentral describes it as "long non-coding RNA (OSAT_LNC001495)". Lineage: Eukaryota; Viridiplantae; Streptophyta; Magnoliopsida; Poales; Poaceae. The record is from RNAcentral.